AGAGUUUGAUCAUGGCUCAGGAUGAACGCUAGCUACAGGCUUAACACAUGCAAGUCGAGGGGCAGCAUGGUCUUAGCUUGCUAAGGCCGAUGGCGACCGGCGCACGGGUGAGUAACACGUAUCCAACCUGCCGUCUACUCUUGGACAGCCUUCUGAAAGGAAGAUUAAUACAAGAUGGCAUCAUGAGUCCGCAUGUUCACAUGAUUAAAGGUAUUCCGGUAGACGAUGGGGAUGCGUUCCAUUAGAUAGUAGGCGGGGUAACGGCCCACCUAGUCUUCGAUGGAUAGGGGUUCUGAGAGGAAGGUCCCCCACAUUGGAACUGAGACACGGUCCAAACUCCUACGGGAGGCAGCAGUGAGGAAUAUUGGUCAAUGGGCGAGAGCCUGAACCAGCCAAGUAGCGUGAAGGAUGACUGCCCUAUGGGUUGUAAACUUCUUUUAUAAAGGAAUAAAGUCGGGUGUGCAUACCCGUUUGCAUGUACUUUAUGAAUAAGGAUCGGCUAACUCCGUGCCAGCAGCCGCGGUAAUACGGAGGAUCCGAGCGUUAUCCGGAUUUAUUGGGUUUAAAGGGAGCGUAGAUGGAUGUUUAAGUCAGUUGUGAAAGUUUGCGGCUCAACCGUAAAAUUGCAGUUGAUACUGGAUAUCUUGAGUGCAGUUGAGGCAGGCGGAAUUCGUGGUGUAGCGGUGAAAUGCUUAGAUAUCACGAAGAACUCCGAUUGCGAAGGCAGCCUGCUAAGCUGCAACUGACAUUGAGGCUCGAAAGUGUGGGUAUCAAACAGGAUUAGAUACCCUGGUAGUCCACACGGUAAACGAUGAAUACUCGCUGUUUGCGAUAUACAGCAAGCGGCCAAGCGAAAGCGUUAAGUAUUCCACCUGGGGAGUACGCCGGCAACGGUGAAACUCAAAGGAAUUGACGGGGGCCCGCACAAGCGGAGGAACAUGUGGUUUAAUUCGAUGAUACGCGAGGAACCUUACCCGGGCUUAAAUUGCAGAUGAAUUACGGUGAAAGCCGUAAGCCGCAAGGCAUCUGUGAAGGUGCUGCAUGGUUGUCGUCAGCUCGUGCCGUGAGGUGUCGGCUUAAGUGCCAUAACGAGCGCAACCCUUGUUGUCAGUUACUAACAGGUUCUGCUGAGGACUCAGACAAGACUGCCAUCGUAAGAUGUGAGGAAGGUGGGGAUGACGUCAAAUCAGCACGGCCCUUACGUCCGGGGCUACAUACGUGUUACAAUGGGGGGUACAGAGGGCCGCUACCACGCGAGUGGAUGCCAAUCCCCAAAACCUCUCUCAGUUCGGACUGGAGUCUGCAACCCGACUCCACGAAGCUGGAUUCGCUAGUAAUCGCGCAUCAGCCACGGCGCGGUGAAUACGUUCCCGGGCCUUGUACACACCGCCCGUCAAGCCAUGGGAGCCGGGGGUACCUGAAGUGCGUAACCGCGAGGAGCGCCCUAGGGUAAAACUGGUGACUGGGGCUAAGUCGUAACAAGGUA
This 1486-nucleotide ribosomal RNA is filed under the name metagenome. RNAcentral describes it as "bacterial SSU rRNA". It matches the Rfam family "Bacterial small subunit ribosomal RNA". The record is from RNAcentral.